GACGAACGCUGGCGGCGUGCUUAACACAUGCAAGUCGAACGGAAAGGCCCUGCUUUUGUGGGGUGCUCGAGUGGCGAACGGGUGAGUAACACGUGAGUAACCUGCCCUUAACUUUGGGAUAACUUCAGGAAACUGGGGCUAAUACCGGAUAGGAGCUCCUGCUGCAUGGUGGGGGUUGGAAAGUUUCGGCGGUUGGGGAUGGACUCGCGGCUUAUCAGCUUGUUGGUGGGGUAGUGGCUUACCAAGGCUUUGACGGGUAGCCGGCCUGAGAGGGUGACCGGCCACAUUGGGACUGAGAUACGGCCCAGACUCCUACGGGAGGCAGCAAUGGGGAAUAUUGCACAAUGGGCGGAAGCCUGAUGCAGCAACGCCGCGUGCGGGAUGACGGCCUUCGGGUUGUAAACCGCUUUCGCCUGUGACGAAGCGUGAGUGACGGUAAUGGGUAAAGAAGCACCGGCUAACUACGUG
RNAcentral lists this ribosomal RNA (468 nucleotides) under uncultured bacterium. RNAcentral's name for it is "partial 16S ribosomal RNA". It matches the Rfam family "Bacterial small subunit ribosomal RNA", at positions 28 to 507 of the family's 1533-position model. The record is from RNAcentral.